UGGGGAAUCUUGCACAAUGGGCGAAAGCCUGAUGCAGCGACGCCGCGUGCGGGAUGAAGGCCUUCGGGUUGUAAGCCGCUUUCAGCAGGGACGAGGCGAAAGUGACGGUACCUGCAGAAGAAGCCCCGGCUAACUACGUGCCAGCAGCCGCGGUAAUACGUAGGGGGCAAGCGUUAUCCGGAUUCAUUGGGCGUAAAGCGCUCGUAGGCGGUCUGUUAGGUCGGGAGUUAAAUCCGGGGGCUCAACCCCCGUUCGCUCCCGAUACCGGCAGACUUGAGUUUGGUAGGGGAAGGUGGAAUUCCUAGUGUAGCGGUGGAAUGCGCAGAUAUUAGGAAGAACACCAGUGGCGAAGGCGGCCUUCUGGGCCAUAACUGACGCUGAGGAGCGAAAGCUAGGGGAGCAAACAGGAUUAGAUACCCUGGUAGUCCUAGCCGUAAACGAUGGACACUAGGUGUGGGGGAAUAUUUCUUCCGUGCCGCAGCUAACGCAUUAAGUGUCCCGCCUGGGGAGUACGGCCGCAAGGCUA
RNAcentral lists this ribosomal RNA (526 nucleotides) under uncultured bacterium. RNAcentral's name for it is "bacterial SSU rRNA". It matches the Rfam family "Bacterial small subunit ribosomal RNA", at positions 355 to 896 of the family's 1533-position model. The record is from RNAcentral.